RNAcentral lists this transfer RNA (76 nucleotides) under Saccharomyces cerevisiae (brewer's yeast). RNAcentral describes it as "tRNA sequence". It matches the Rfam family "tRNA". From Rfam's summary of the family: Transfer RNA (tRNA) molecules are approximately 80 nucleotides in length. Their secondary structure includes four short double-helical elements and three loops (D, anti-codon, and T loops). The record is from RNAcentral. Lineage: Eukaryota; Fungi; Ascomycota; Saccharomycetes; Saccharomycetales; Saccharomycetaceae.
GCUCGUGUAGCUCAGUGGUUAGAGCUUCGUGCUUAUAACGCGACCGUCGUGGGUUCAAUCCCCACCUCGAGCACCA